CGCUAUCAUCAUUAACUUUAUUUAUUACCGUCAUUCAGUUUUGAAUGUCUGUUUAACCUUAUUUGAACCGGAUGCCGCGCAUUCGGUUUUUUU
This 93-nucleotide non-coding RNA is filed under the name uncultured Enterobacter sp. Its description in RNAcentral is "MicF RNA". It matches the Rfam family "MicF RNA". From Rfam's summary of the family: The micF gene is a stress response gene found in Escherichia coli and related bacteria that post-transcriptionally controls expression of the outer membrane porin gene ompF. Lineage: Bacteria; Pseudomonadati; Pseudomonadota; Gammaproteobacteria; Enterobacterales; Enterobacteriaceae. The record is from RNAcentral.